AAAUCUUAACAUAUAAAUUACAAACACCUAAACAUUUUCUUAAAAAAGUUCUAAAAUCUAAACAUAAACUUUAAAAUUCUAAUCUUUUUAUACUAUAACCUCAAAUCUUAAAAUUAAAAUCAAAAUUUCAUCUUUUAAUCGUAUUCUAUAACUUUCAAAACACAAACCUUAAAUUUUCAUUCUAUAAUUCAUCAUCAUUCUAUAAUAAAACUAUAUUCUAUAAUUAAACUCUAUUUUGAAACAUAAGCCAUACUUCUCAAACAUUGUCUUGAUCAUAUACCCUACAUAAAACAAACUCACCAUACCUUCUAU
This 312-nucleotide long non-coding RNA is filed under the name Brassica napus (rape). RNAcentral's name for it is "long non-coding RNA (BNAP_LNC010022)". The record is from RNAcentral. Lineage: Eukaryota; Viridiplantae; Streptophyta; Magnoliopsida; Brassicales; Brassicaceae.